This 308-nucleotide long non-coding RNA is filed under the name Neogobius melanostomus (round goby). RNAcentral's name for it is "lncRNA (ENSNMLG00000002273.1)". Lineage: Eukaryota; Metazoa; Chordata; Actinopteri; Gobiiformes; Gobiidae. The record is from RNAcentral.
AGCAGGUGUGCCUAGUCCUGCAUUCAUGUCUGAUGAAGGACUUGUAGUCCGAAACGUUACAACAGUGGUUGAAGGUCACUAUCAAAAUAUCCCAAAGGGAGGUGUUCUGGACGUUUGGAAAGUCAUGUUCAACGAGAGAACCGGGCCAAUGUGGGAGGGCACUGAGACCUUGAAACCAGGACAGUGGGACAGGAAAGUAUAAAAGCCACAAUCUGCAAGCCGUCCUAAGAAGUAAAAUGUAAGUGUGUGUGUUGUUUUUUUUAUUGAUUUUAUGCACCCUUGUAACAAACGUGUGUGACUACACGUAC